Molecule: ribosomal RNA, 482 nt
Filed under: uncultured bacterium
Lineage: Bacteria
Description: partial 16S ribosomal RNA
Rfam family: Bacterial small subunit ribosomal RNA
Source: RNAcentral
AUUGAACGCUGGCGGCAUGCCUUACACAUGCAAGUCGAACGGUAACAGGUCUUCGGAUGCUGACGAGUGGCGAACGGGUGGGUAAUACAUAGGAACGUGCCCGAUCGUGGGGGAUAAGGCAGCGAAAGCUGUGCUAAUACCGCAUACGAUAUACGGACGAAAGCGGGGGAUGGGAAGACCUCGCGCGGACGGAUCGGCCGAUGGCCGUGUAGGUAGUUGGUGGGAUAAGAGCUUACCAAGCCGACGAUCUGUAGCUGGUCUGAGAGGACGACCAGCCGCACUGGGACGUAGACACGGCCCAGACUCCUGCGAGAGGCAGCAGUGUGGAAUUUUGGACAAUGGGCGCAAGCCUUGUCCAGCCAUGCCGCGUGCAGGAUGAAGGCCUUCGGGUUGUAAACUGCUUUUGUACGGAACGAAAAAGCUCUCUCUAAUACAGGGGGUGAAUGACGGUACCGUAAGAAUAAGCACCGGCUAACUACGUG